RNAcentral lists this ribosomal RNA (253 nucleotides) under uncultured bacterium. RNAcentral describes it as "partial 16S ribosomal RNA". It matches the Rfam family "Bacterial small subunit ribosomal RNA", at positions 524 to 776 of the family's 1533-position model. The record is from RNAcentral.
UACGGAGGUUGCAAGCGUUAUUCGGAAUAAUUGGGCGUAAAGGGCGCGCAGGCGGUCUUUUAAGUGUGAUGUGAAAGCCCAGGGCUCAACCUGGGAAGAGCAUUGCAAACUGGAAGACUAGAGUACUGUAGAGGGAGGUGGAAUUCCAGGUGUAGCGGUGAAAUGCGUAGAGAUAUGGAGGAACACCGAUGGCGAAGGCGGCCUCCUGGGCAGGAACUGACGCUCAUGUGCGAAAGCGUGGGGAGCAAACAGG